UACGAAGGGGGCUAGCGUUGCUCGGAAUCACUGGGCGUAAAGGGUGCGUAGGCGGGUCUUUAAGUCAGGGGUGAAAUCCUGGAGCUCAACUCCAGAACUGCCUUUGAUACUGAGGAUCUUGAGUUCGGGAGAGGUGAGUGGAACUGCGAGUGUAGAGGUGAAAUUCGUAGAUAUUCGCAAGAACACCAGUGGCGAAGGCGGCUCACUGGCCCGAUACUGACGCUGAGGGACGAAAGCGUGGGGAGCAAACAGG
Molecule: ribosomal RNA, 253 nt
Filed under: uncultured bacterium
Lineage: Bacteria
Description: partial 16S ribosomal RNA
Rfam family: Bacterial small subunit ribosomal RNA
Source: RNAcentral